GAUGAAGAACGUAGCGAAAUGCGAUAAGUAAUGUGAAUUGCAGAAUUCAGUGAAUCAUCGAAUCUUUGAACGCACAUUGCGCCCUUUGGUAUUCCGAAGGGCAUGCCUGUUCGAGCGUCAUUUCACCACUCAAGCCUGGCUUGGUAUUGGGCGCCGCGGUCGAUCCGCGCGCCUCAAAGUCUCCGGCUGAGCUGUCCGUCUCUAAGCGUUGUGAUUUCAUUAAUCGCUUCGGAGUGCGGGCGGCCGCGGCCGUUAAAUCUUUCACAAGGUUGACCUCGGAUCAGGUAGGGAUACCCGCUGAACUUAAGCAUAUCAUAAGCGGAGGA
This 326-nucleotide unclassified non-coding RNA is filed under the name soil metagenome. RNAcentral's name for it is "partial contains 5.8S ribosomal RNA, internal transcribed spacer 2, and large subunit ribosomal RNA". The stretch from base 1 to 120 matches the Rfam family "5.8S ribosomal RNA", at positions 35 to 154 of the family's 154-position model. The record is from RNAcentral.